AGAACGAACGCUGGCGGCAGGCUUAACACAUGCAAGUCGAGCGGAAAGGCCCUUCGGGGUACUCGAGCGGCGAACGGGUGAGUAACACGUGAGCAACCUGCCCUUAGCUUCGGGAUAGCUCCGGGAAACCGGAAUUAAAUACCGAAUAUGAUUUUUGCUGACAUCAGCAGAAGUGGAAAGUUUUUCGGCUAGGGAUGGACUCGCGGCCUAUCAGCUAGUUGGUGAGGUAACGGCCCACCAAGGCGACGACGGGUA
This 255-nucleotide ribosomal RNA is filed under the name uncultured bacterium. RNAcentral describes it as "partial small subunit ribosomal RNA". It matches the Rfam family "Bacterial small subunit ribosomal RNA", at positions 26 to 285 of the family's 1533-position model. The record is from RNAcentral.